Molecule: long non-coding RNA, 265 nt
Organism: Gordionus sp. m RMFG-2023
Lineage: Eukaryota; Metazoa; Nematomorpha; Gordioida; Chordodea; Parachordodidae
Exons: 3
Source: RefSeq, a predicted model, not a curated record
GAAAUAAAACUAGAGGCAAAAAUUUAGAAAAGAUUGCAAUAGAUAUUCAUAAAAUAAUUGAUGAAACGUUACGUCACAACAUCAAGGAUAACGCAUACGAAAAUAUACCCUAUAAGACUGCUUCUGGAAUACUUAAAAUUACUAAUCUUACACUACUCAUUCAACAUCUUGCCAAAAAUGCUAAUAUGACAUUACCUAAAAACACGCACAUAAUAAUCCAAAAGUCAUUUUUUGAAAACUUCAACAAAUUCACUGAGAAAUUCAC